Molecule: long non-coding RNA, 666 nt
Organism: Balaenoptera ricei (Rice's whale)
Lineage: Eukaryota; Metazoa; Chordata; Mammalia; Artiodactyla; Balaenopteridae
Exons: 3
Source: RefSeq, a predicted model, not a curated record
AGAGAAGAUGGCAAAGAAAGUAGCAGAGAAGGAAAAACUGAAGAAUUGAGAGAAAAGGGAGAAGAAAAGACAAAAAAAGAGAAGACCUUGCUGGAGAGAGUCUCUGCUCUUUCUGUUCCCCUCUCUACUUAUCUCAGGUAUGUCUAUUUCUGUCAGUUGCUGAAUUGGCUAUGUCUCCACAAGUGGUCAUUCAUCCACUCUGGGCCUGGAUCAGUCCUUGGCAUAUUUAUCAGUCUACAAGAGAAAGACACAGUCACUGCCCUGCAGUGCCUCACAGUCUAGCUGGGGACACAAGACACAUGAAAGAGUGAAAACCUGUGCCAUUUGAUCCCUUUACAAACAAGCCCACAUCAAGGUGUUAUUUUACAACAAAGAGUACAAACACAUAAGGAAAAAAAGUCCUAUGAACAAGAAAGUUCUGGGCUUCCCUGGUGGCGCAGUGGUUGAGAAUCUGCCUGCCAAUGCAGGGAACACGGGUUCGAGCCCUGGUCUGGAAGGAUCCCACAUGCCGCGGAGCAACUGGGCCCGUGCACCACAACUACUGAGCCUGUGCGUCUGGAGCCUGUGCUCCAAACAAGAGAGGCCGCGAUAGUGAGAGGCCCGCGCACCGCGAUGAAGAGUGGCCCACGCUUGCCACAACUGGGGAAAGCCCUCGCACAGAAACGA